CAAAAAAGCUACGCCACGGAAAAAGAAGGCGUAGCCCAUAGGCGUCCAUGGAACGGCGAAAAAUCAGCCCCCUCUCUGAGCGCCUCGCCCCGCCCCUAUGGCCCGAAGGAGCAUAGGAUGAGAACUAUCCCGGGGACCAAUCAGCAUGCGCGCCCGGCGUGGACGAGCCCCCCUCUCUGCACCCAAUCACCUGCGACCGCGCCCUACAAAACAUCCGGCCAGCGCCACCCAAACCCCCAGGUGCCCUGACUCUGGCGCUCCCACCUGGUGAUGACCGACGGAGCGCUGACAGGCACAUCCAGGGCAUGGCUGCUCCCCCGCGCCCCGCCCUCCCCAAACAUCUCUGACGGACGGUUGGCUGCAGCCCAGGAAGCACCGUCGCGCCGCGGCCUGCAUCCCAGCCCCGCCCCUCCGAGCGGGAAGGAGGGCUGUGUGGAAUGCUCCAGCUCCCUCGCCAGCCUAAACGCAAGCCCGCUCUUUCCAGUGCAAUAAAACGAGAUGUACAACAA
This is a long non-coding RNA of Eublepharis macularius, 509 nucleotides long. RefSeq lists it as uncharacterized. The record is from RefSeq and is a predicted model, not a curated record. NCBI's taxonomy places the organism in Eukaryota, Metazoa, Chordata, Lepidosauria, Squamata, Eublepharidae. The transcript has 3 exons.